UGGGGAAUCUUGGACAAUGGGGGCAACCCUGAUCCAGCGACGCCGCGUGGGUGAUGAAGGCCUUAGGGUUGUAAACCCCUUUCACCGGGGAGGAUGAUGACGUUACCCGGAGAAGAAGCACCGGCUAACUCCGUGCCAGCAGCCGCGGUAAUACGGAGGGAGCUAGCGUUGUUCGGAAUUACUGGGCGUAAAGCGCGCGUAGGCGGCUAUCCAAGUCAGGGGUGAAAUCCCGGGGCUCAACCCCGGAACUGCCCUUGAAACUAGGUAGCUAGAAUACUGGAGAGGUGAGUGGAAUUCCGAGUGUAGAGGUGAAAUUCGUAGAUAUUCGGAAGAACACCAGUGGCGAAGGCGACUCACUGGACAGUUAUUGACGCUGAGGUGCGAAAGCGUGGGGAGCAAACAGGAUUAGAUACCCCCGUAGUCC
Molecule: ribosomal RNA, 424 nt
Filed under: uncultured prokaryote
Description: bacterial SSU rRNA
Rfam family: Bacterial small subunit ribosomal RNA
Source: RNAcentral